AGCUCUGUAAGCGUAUACCCAAGUUGUUGCAGUUAAAACGCUCGUAGUCGGAAGUUGGCGGGCGAGACGGGGCGUCUUCGCGGACGGGCCUGGGUCGGCCGCCUUUGUGGAGGGGGGCACGUAUCCGCUUGAGUGCGGGAACGUUGUCGCUGCCACCGUUUACUGUGAAAAAAUUAGAGUGUUCAAAGCGGGCGUUUGCCAUGAAUACCUUAGCAUGGAAUAAUAGAAUAGGACCUGUGUUCUGUUUUAUUGGUUUGUGAGGACCGGGUAAUGAUUAAGAGGGACGGUUGGGGGCAUUUGUAUUCCGGCGUCAGAGGUGAAAUUCUUGGAUUGUCGGAAGACAAACGGCUGCGAAAGCGUCUGCAAAGGACGUUUUCA
This 378-nucleotide ribosomal RNA is filed under the name uncultured eukaryote. RNAcentral's name for it is "SSU rRNA". It matches the Rfam family "Eukaryotic small subunit ribosomal RNA", at positions 587 to 972 of the family's 1831-position model. The record is from RNAcentral.